GCGCCCAUAGCGCAGCGGAUAGAGCACUGGUCUUCGGAACCAGCGGUCGGGGGUUCGAAUCCCUCUGGGCGCG
RNAcentral lists this transfer RNA (73 nucleotides) under Pleurocapsa minor GSE-CHR-MK 17-07R. Its description in RNAcentral is "Pleurocapsa minor GSE-CHR-MK-17-07R (algae metagenome) tRNA-Arg". It matches the Rfam family "tRNA". Rfam says of the family: Transfer RNA (tRNA) molecules are approximately 80 nucleotides in length. Lineage: Bacteria; Bacillati; Cyanobacteriota; Cyanophyceae; Pleurocapsales; Pleurocapsaceae. The record is from RNAcentral. RNAcentral also lists the same sequence under 1 other name.